GAACGUACGCUGGCGGCACGCCUAACACAUGCAAGUCGAACGAAGUAGCAAUACUUAGUGGCAGACGGGUGAGUAACAUGUAGGUAUCUGCCCUUUGGCCUGGAAUAACACGAGGAAACUUGUGCUAAUACCGGAUAAGUCUUUACAGAGAAAGCUUUAUGCACCAUUGGAUGAGCCUGCACUUGAUUAGUUUGUUGGUGGGGUAAUGGCCUACCAAGACUGUGAUCAAUAGCUGAUUUGAGAGGAUGAUCAGCCACAUUGGGACUGAGACACGGCCCAAACUCCUACGGGAGGCAGCAGUGGGGAAUCUUGCACAAUGGAGGAAACUCUGAUGCAGCGAUGCCGCGUGAGUGAAGAAGGCCUUUGGGUUGUAAAGCUCUUUCGUCGGGGAAGAAAAUGACUGUACCCGAAUAAGAAGGUCCGGCUAACUUCGUGCCAGCAGCCGCGGUAAUACGAAGGGACCUAGCGUAGUUCGGAAUUACUGGGCUUAAAGAGUUCGUAGGUGGUUGAAAAAGUUAGUGGUGAAAUCCCAGAGCUUAACUCUGGAACUGCCAUUAAAACUUUUUAGCUAGAGUAUGAUAGAGGAAAGCAGAAUUUCUAGUGUAGAGGUGAAAUUCGUAGAUAUUAGAAAGAAUACCAAUUGCGAAGGCAGCUUUCUGGAUCAUUACUGACACUGAGGAACGAAAGCAUGGGUAGCGAAGAGGAUUAGAUACCCUCGUAGUCCAUGCCGUAAACGAUGUGUGUUAGACGUUGGAAAUUUAUUUUCAGUGUCGCAGCGAAAGCGAUAAACACACCGCCUGGGGAGUACGACCGCAAGGUUAAAACUCAAAUGAAUUGACGGGGACCCGCACAAGUAGUGGAGCAUGUGGUUUAAUUCGAAGAUACGCGCAGAACCUUACCAACACUUGACAUGUUCGUCGCGACUCUAAGAGAUUAGAGUUUUCGGUUCGGCCGGACGAAACACAGGUGCUGCAUGGCUGUCGUCAGCUCGUGUCGUGAGAUGUUGGGUUAAGUCCCGCAACGAGCGCAACCCUCACUUUUAGUUGCCAUCAUUAAGUUGGGCACUCUGAAAGAACUGCCAGUGAUAAGCUGGAGGAAGGUGGGGAUGACGUCAAGUCCUCAUGGCCCUUACGUGUUGGGCUACACACGUGCUACAAUGGUAUCUACAACAGGAAGCAAGACUGCGAAGUUAAGCAAAUCCCUAAAAGAUACCUCAGUUCGGAUUGCACUCUGCAACUCGAGUGCAUGAAGCUGGAAUUACUAGUAAUCGUGGAUCAGCGUGCCACGGUGAAUGCGUUCCCGGGUCUUGUACACACCGCCC
Molecule: ribosomal RNA, 1321 nt
Filed under: uncultured Alphaproteobacteria bacterium
Lineage: Bacteria; Pseudomonadati; Pseudomonadota; Alphaproteobacteria
Description: bacterial SSU rRNA
Rfam family: Bacterial small subunit ribosomal RNA
Source: RNAcentral